Molecule: long non-coding RNA, 901 nt
Filed under: Urocitellus parryii (Arctic ground squirrel)
Lineage: Eukaryota; Metazoa; Chordata; Mammalia; Rodentia; Sciuridae
Description: lncRNA (ENSUPAG00010009418.1)
Source: RNAcentral
CUGAAAUAUUCCCACACCUGCACACCCAGUUUAGCCACCCUGGUGGCUGCUCCAGUGUUAGCGGUCCGCAGAGCCAGGCGUGGCGGCACACGCCUGUGAUACCAGUGACUCAGGAGGCUGAGGCAGGAGGAUGGCAAGUUCAAGGCCAGCCUUAGCAGCCUAGUGAGACUUUGUCUCAAAAUAAAAAAUAAAAAGGGCUGGGGAUGUGGCUCUGUGGUUAGGUGCCCCUGGGUUCAAUCCCCAGCACAAAAAAAAAAAAAAAAAAAGUCAGCUGUAACUAUCCGCUCCUUGGAGAGGGAGCCCAGGGGACUUUGCCGUGAGCCUGAAGGGACGCGCUGGAGGGGGCUGCACCCAGGAACCCUGCAGGCCAGCUCACCUGGCUACUCUCUACCCAUUGUGAAUCCAGGGUUAUUGGAGCUUGGGUUUGCAAUGUUCCUGACACAAAGUAAGGGUGCACUGGCAAACACCACGGAGGGACCUGGUCGGCACCAGGGUCCACUCCUCUCGGUUCUUUUCUCUUUUUCAGAGAUGUGUUCUGCCAUGUCGCCCAGGCUGCUCUGGAACUCCCGGGCUCAAGUGAUCCUCCUGCCUCCGUCUCCCAAGUGCUGGAACAGGGGUACUCUGCCACUGAGCUGCACCUCAGACCAACCUUCCUGAACUGGACAGACCUGGCAUCUCACAUGCAUUCAUUUCCAAGAUGGUUUCUGCAGCUGAACAGCCUCCCUCCUUCCACCAGCUCACACAAGAAGCAGACUCUCGUGGCUGUGGGACAGCGUCCACUCCACGCCCUUGUUUAUCAGGUGGUUAAAUAUUUUGAAUAUCAAUCUUGGAUAUUUAUUCACCCAAACUCCUAUUACAUGACAUUUGGAUCAUCGCCUCUAUUUUGCUUUAAUAAAUAAUG